AAUCAACGCUGGCGGCGUGCCUCAGACAUGCAAGUCGAACGCGAAAGUCCCCUUCGGGGGACAAGUAGAGUGGCGCACGGGUGAGUAACACGUAGGUAAUCUACCUUUGGAUGGGGAAUAACAACCGGAAACGGUUGCUAAUACCGCAUAAUGCAGCGGCACCUAAUGGUGACAGUUGUUAAAGCGGGGGAUCGAAAGACCUCGCGUCUAAAGAGGAGCCUGCGGCGGAUUAGCUAGUUGGAGGUAAUGGCUUACCAAGGCUACGAUCCGUAACCGGCCUGAGAGGGCGGUCGGUCACACUGACACUGACAUACGGGUCAGACUCCUACGGGAGGCAGCAGUCGGGAAUUUUGGGCAAUGGGCGAAAGCCUGACCCAGCAACGCCGCGUGAAGGAU
Molecule: ribosomal RNA, 396 nt
Filed under: uncultured bacterium
Lineage: Bacteria
Description: bacterial SSU rRNA
Rfam family: Bacterial small subunit ribosomal RNA
Source: RNAcentral